Rattus norvegicus (Norway rat) is the source of this 133-nucleotide small nucleolar RNA. Ensembl annotates it as small nucleolar RNA SNORA48. The record is from Ensembl. Lineage: Eukaryota; Metazoa; Chordata; Mammalia; Rodentia; Muridae.
AACCCCAGGAAUAGGCAAAAAGACACCUUAUUGGUAGUCUUGUUCUUAUAUCAGUCUGGGGCAGAGCAGAUGGCAGUCCUUUGUUCAUCCUAGCUUGAUGCCUGGAUUGGUGUUUUAUAUCUAGGACUCAUAA